RNAcentral lists this ribosomal RNA (254 nucleotides) under uncultured bacterium. RNAcentral describes it as "partial 16S ribosomal RNA". It matches the Rfam family "Bacterial small subunit ribosomal RNA", at positions 524 to 776 of the family's 1533-position model. The record is from RNAcentral.
UACGUAGGGGGCAAGCGUUGUCCGGAUUUAUUGGGCGUAAAGAGCUCGUAGGCGGUUUGGUAAGUCUGGUGUGAAAUCUCCACGCUCAACGUGGAGGGGCCACCCGAUACUGCCAUGACUGGAGUCCGGUAGAGGAGUGUGGAAUUCCCGGUGUAGCGGUGAAAUGCGCAGAUAUCGGGAGGAACACCCGUAGCGAAGGCGGCUCUCUGGGACGGUACUGACGCUGAGACGCGAAAGCGUGGGGAGCGAACAGG